GAGGAAUAUUGGUCAAUGGACGGAAGUCUGAACCAGCCAAGUAGCGUGCAGGAAGACGGCCCUAUGGGUUGUAAACUGCUUUUGUAUGGGGAUAAAGUUAGGGACGUGUCCCUAUUUGCAGGUACCAUACGAAUAAGGACCGGCUAAUUCCGUGCCAGCAGCCGCGGUAAUACGGAAGGUCCAGGCGUUAUCCGGAUUUAUUGGGUUUAAAGGGAGCGUAGGCUGGAGAUUAAGUGUGUUGUGAAAUGUAGACGCUCAACGUCUGACUUGCAGCGCAUACUGGUUUCCUUGAGUACGCACAACGUUGGCGGAAUUCGUCGUGUAGCGGUGAAAUGCUUAGAUAUGACGAAGAACUCCGAUUGCGAAGGCAGCUGACGGGAGCGCAACUGACGCUUAAGCUCGAAGGUGCGGGUAUCAAACAGGAUUAGAUACCCUGGUAGUCCGCACAGUAAACGAUGGAUGCCCGCUGUUGGUACCUGGUAUCAGCGGCUAAGCGAAAGCAUUAAGCAUCCCACCUGGGGAGUACGCCGGCAACGGUA
Molecule: ribosomal RNA, 539 nt
Filed under: uncultured bacterium
Lineage: Bacteria
Description: bacterial SSU rRNA
Rfam family: Bacterial small subunit ribosomal RNA
Source: RNAcentral